Molecule: ribosomal RNA, 365 nt
Filed under: uncultured bacterium
Lineage: Bacteria
Description: bacterial SSU rRNA
Rfam family: Bacterial small subunit ribosomal RNA
Source: RNAcentral
UACGUAGGGGGCAAGCGUUAUCCGGAUUUAUUGGGCGUAAAGCGUGUGUAGGCGGUUUACUAAGUCUAAGAUAAAAGCCCGAGGCUCAACCUCGGAUUGUUUUAGAUACUGGUAGGCUUGAAUAUGGUAGAGGCAAAUGGAAUUCCUAGUGUAGCGGUGAAAUGCGUAGAUAUUAGGAGGAACAACAGUGGCGAAGGCGAUUUGCUGGGCCAUUAUUGACGCUGAGACACGAAAGCGUGGGGAGCAAAUAGGAUUAGAUACCCUAGUAGUCCACGCUGUAAACGAUGAGCACUAAGUGUCGGGUAACCGGUGCUGAAGUUAACACAUUAAGUGCUCCGCCUGAGUAGUACGGUCGCAAGACUGAA